GAGCCAAGAUUUGUCGCCUCAAGCGACUAUCAAACUUGAACUGAAGAGUUUGAUCCUGGCUCAGAUUGAACGCUGGCGGCAUGCCUAACACAUGCAAGUCGAACGGAAACGAUGGGAGCUUGCUCCCAGGCGUCGAGUGGCGGACGGGUGAGUAAUACAUAGGAAUCUGCCCUGUAGUGGGGGACAACCUGGGGAAACCCAGGCUAAUACCGCAUGAGCCCUUCGGGGG
RNAcentral lists this ribosomal RNA (229 nucleotides) under Gammaproteobacteria bacterium. RNAcentral's name for it is "partial 16S ribosomal RNA". The stretch from base 38 to 229 matches the Rfam family "Bacterial small subunit ribosomal RNA", at positions 1 to 188 of the family's 1533-position model. The record is from RNAcentral. Lineage: Bacteria; Pseudomonadati; Pseudomonadota; Gammaproteobacteria.